Molecule: ribosomal RNA, 509 nt
Filed under: uncultured bacterium
Lineage: Bacteria
Description: partial 16S ribosomal RNA
Rfam family: Bacterial small subunit ribosomal RNA
Source: RNAcentral
GACGAACGCUGGCGGCGCGCUUAACACAUGCAAGUCGAGCGAGAACCAGACCUUCGGGUCUGGGGACAGCGGCGAACGGGUGAAUAACACGUGGGUAAUCAACCCUCGGUACUGGGAUAGCCCGGGGAAACCCGGAUUAAUACCGGAUGGCCCUUCGGAUCUUCGGGUCCGAAGGAAAAGGUAGCUUCGGCCUCCGACCGAGGACGAGCCAGCGGCGGAUUAGCUUGUUGGUGGGGUAACGGCCUACCAAGGCGGCGAUCCGUAGCUGGUCUGAGAGGACGAUCAGCCACACUGGGACUGAGACACGGCCCAGACUUCUACAGAAGGCAGCAGUGGGGAAUCUUGCGCUAAUGCGGGAAACCGUGACGCAGCGACGCCGCGUGAGGGAAGAAGGCCUUCGGGUUGUAAACCUCUUUCAGAAGGGACGAAGCUACUCGGGUUAAUAGCCCAGAGGGUGACGGUACCUUCAGAAGAAGCCCCGGCUAACUACGUGCCAGCCGCCGCAGUAA